This 1113-nucleotide long non-coding RNA is filed under the name Sorghum bicolor (sorghum). RNAcentral describes it as "long non-coding RNA (SBIC_LNC007229)". Lineage: Eukaryota; Viridiplantae; Streptophyta; Magnoliopsida; Poales; Poaceae. The record is from RNAcentral.
GAGCUUCCUCUUCACGAUAUGAAAGUAGCAAAGGAGGCAAGCUGAUGAGUAACGCAGCACCAGAAAAAAUGCCUACUGAAAAUGAGCAAAUAGUCAAUGAGAUACUCCAUAAUACACAUGGUUCUUUUGCUGACAUCUCCGAUGGUACUGGUACUGUUGAAGGUGAUUUCAAGGUUAGCUACAAUCUUAAUGUAAAGUUCAGCAGCACAAAUAAUAUAAAAUUUGCAAUGUAUAUCAUCAAAGUUAUUAUUAUCAGUUUUGAGGGUUUUUUGGGAAAUUAACAUAUCUGAAUUCAGGGUGUAUGAGAUGAUUCUCUUCUUGUGUAAUUCUAUAUUUCCUAUCCUUUUUGUUGUCAGGUAAAAGUCAAGGAAACAAUGGAGAAAGCUUUCUGGGAUGUGGUUGCGGAUUCAAUGAGAGGGGACAUGCCAGACUAUGGUUAUCUGGUCAGCCUGGUAAAGGAAAUCAGGGAAGCAUUGGAAGAGUUAGCUCCUCCAGGGUGGAAAGUAGAAAUCAGUGACAAUAUUAACCUUGAAAUUUUGACCCAGGUAAGAAUAUUUCAGUUAGUAUAUUGUGGAUUAUAGUGAACUGCGAUGCAUAUUUGAGACAAAUGUAUAUUGUUUUUGGCGGAAAGCUACUUGAAUCAGGUUCCCAGGACAGAAAAUACCUUGGACAAAUUUUGCAGUACUCCCUGGAUAAGCUUCGGAAACUGUCUUCUCCUGCGAAGGAACUCGAGAUGAAGAAGAGUCAUGAUAAAUUGUUGGGAGAAUUGAUUGAAGGCUCUGAAUCUAAUUAUAGAGAUUCAAAUUCAUUUGUUCUUUGUGUUAUCAAGGGUUUGCGCUUCACUAUGGAGGAAUUAGAGGUCCUUACUAUAUGAGUCUGUUUCAAAUAAACUGAUGAGCUAUAUGUGAACUUACAAUAUUACCUCAUGAAUAAAUUUCCUUACUGAUACAGGCUCUAAAAGCAGAAGUCAAUAGAGCACGCAUCCAACUAUUGGAACCAAUGAUCAAGGGACCAGGUGGAGUGGAGUACCUGCAUAAGUCUUUUGCUGAUCGCUAUGGUUCCCCUUCUGAUGCGUUAGCUACUCUCCCUUCAACUGCCCGGUGGAUUUCCUCC